This 492-nucleotide ribosomal RNA is filed under the name uncultured bacterium. RNAcentral's name for it is "partial 16S ribosomal RNA". It matches the Rfam family "Bacterial small subunit ribosomal RNA", at positions 29 to 507 of the family's 1533-position model. The record is from RNAcentral.
AGUGAACGCUGGCGGUAGGCCUAACACAUGCAAGUCGAACGGCAGCACAGUAAGAGCUUGCUCUUACGGGUGGCGAGUGGCGGACGGGUGAGGAAUAUAUCGGAAUCUACUUUUUCGUGGGGGAUAACGUAGGGAAACUUACGCUAAUACCGCAUACGACCUACGGGUGAAAGCAGGGGAUCUUCGGACCUUGCGCGAUUGAAUGAGCCGAUGUCGGAUUAGCUAGUUGGCGGGGUAAAGGCCCACCAAGGCGACGAUCCGUAGCUGGUCUGAGAGGAUGAUCAGCCACACUGGAACUGAGACACGGUCCAGACUCCUACGGGAGGCAGAAGUGGGGAAUAUUGGACAAUGGGCGCAAGCCUGAUCCAGCCAUACCGCGUGGGUGAAGAAGGCCUUCGGGUUGUAAAGCCCUUUUGUUGGGAAAGAAAAGCAGCAGGUUAAUACCCCGCUGUUCUGACGGUAGCCAAAGAAUAAGCACCGGCUAACUUCGUG